AGAAACUAACAAGGAUUCCCCUAGUAACGGCGAGUGAAGAGGGAAAAGCCCAGCACCGAAUCCCACAGCCUUGCGCUGUCGGGAACUGUGGUGUAUAGGAAGCCUACUGUCGACGUGUUCGGGUACCCAAGUCCUCCUGAUCGUGGCCUCUCCCAUAGCGGGUGUCAGGCCCAUAGAGGCACCCGACGGCGUCGGCUUGGAGCUUCCUCGGAGUCGGGUUGUUUGGGAAUG
Molecule: ribosomal RNA, 231 nt
Filed under: Potomida littoralis
Lineage: Eukaryota; Metazoa; Mollusca; Bivalvia; Unionida; Unionidae
Description: partial 28S ribosomal RNA
Rfam family: Eukaryotic large subunit ribosomal RNA
Source: RNAcentral